Molecule: ribosomal RNA, 375 nt
Filed under: Nocardia sp. FeAH21
Lineage: Bacteria; Bacillati; Actinomycetota; Actinomycetes; Mycobacteriales; Nocardiaceae
Description: bacterial SSU rRNA
Rfam family: Bacterial small subunit ribosomal RNA
Source: RNAcentral
GGCGUGCUUAACNCAUGCAAGUCGAGUAACCUUCGGGGGCCGAGCGGCGACGGGUGAGUAACACGUGGGUAUCUGCCUCGNCUUCGGGAUAAGCCUGGAAACUGGGUCUAANNNCGGAUAUGCCUCAGAUGCAUUGAUUUAUCGGUGCGAGAUGGGCCCGCGGCCUAUCAGCUUGUUGGUGGGGUAAUGGCCUACCAAGGCGACGACGGGUAGCCGACCUGAGAGGGUGCCGGCCACACUGGGACUGAGACACGGCCCAGUCUCCUACGGGAGGCAGCAGUGGGGAAUAUUGCACAAUGGGCGGAAGCCUGAUGCAGCGACGCCGCGUGAGGGAUGGCGCCUUCGGGUUGUAAACCUCUUUCGACAGGGACGAAG